RNAcentral lists this transfer RNA (84 nucleotides) under Candidatus Ozemibacter sibiricus. Its description in RNAcentral is "Candidatus Ozemobacter sibiricus tRNA-Leu". It matches the Rfam family "tRNA". From Rfam's summary of the family: Transfer RNA (tRNA) molecules are approximately 80 nucleotides in length. Their secondary structure includes four short double-helical elements and three loops (D, anti-codon, and T loops). The record is from RNAcentral. Lineage: Bacteria; Candidatus Rifleibacteriota; Candidatus Ozemibacteria; Candidatus Ozemibacteraceae. RNAcentral also lists the same sequence under 1 other name.
GCCGGGGUGGUGAAAUUGGCAAACACGUAAGAUUCAGGAUCUUAUGCCCAUUCGGGCUUGGGGGUUCAAGUCCCCCCCUCGGCA